RNAcentral lists this ribosomal RNA (253 nucleotides) under uncultured microorganism. Its description in RNAcentral is "partial 16S ribosomal RNA". It matches the Rfam family "Bacterial small subunit ribosomal RNA", at positions 524 to 776 of the family's 1533-position model. The record is from RNAcentral.
UACGGAGGGUGCAAGCGUUAAUCGGAAUUACUGGGCGUAAAGCGUACGUAGGCGGCUUGUUAAGCCAGAUGUGAAAUCCCCGGGCUCAACCUAGGAAUUGCGCUUGUGACUGGCGGGCUCGAGUACGGUAGAGGGGGGUGGAAUUCCUGGUGUAGCAGUGAAAUGCGUAGAGAUCAGGAGGAACACCGAUGGCGAAGGCAGCCCCCUGGGCCUGUACUGACGCUCAUGCACGAAAGCGUGGGGAGCAAACAGG